Molecule: long non-coding RNA, 1406 nt
Filed under: Pan troglodytes (chimpanzee)
Lineage: Eukaryota; Metazoa; Chordata; Mammalia; Primates; Hominidae
Description: long non-coding RNA NONPTRT012873
Source: RNAcentral
CGUCUAUCUCCCUAUCUGAAAUUCUUACAACUCAAAAAUAAAAGGACGACCCAAAUAAAAAUGGGCAAAGGGUGAGAACAGACAUUGCUCCAAACGAAACAUGCAAAUGGUCGACCUCUCGCAGAUCAAAACCACAACGCGAUUCUUCAUAUCCACUAGGAUGGAGAGAACUGAAAAACAGCAGGUGUUGAUGAGGAUGUGGAGAAACUGGAACCACCAUGUGCUGCUGGUGGGAAUGUAAAAUGCUGCAGCUGCUGUGGAAGUUUGGUGGUUCCUCAAAAAACUAAACUUAAAAAAUUAAACACAGAAUCACCAAAUGACCCAGAAACUCACUGUGGGCACACACACACCAACAGCCUGAGAAGACAGAUCUGAAGAGACACGUGUCCAGCAAUGCUCAGAGAGGCAUCACUCACGGCAGCUACACGUCUCCAGCAGUGCUCACAGCGGCGCCACUCACGGCAGCUACACGUGUCCAGCAGUGCUCAGAGAGGCAUCACUCCAGCGAUGCCCACAGUGGCUCCACUCACAACAAUGCUCACAGCAGCGUCACUCACGACACCUACACGUCUGCAGCAGUGCUCACAGCGGCGCCACUCACGGCAGCUACACGUGUCCAGCAAUGCUCAGAGAGGCAUCACUCCAGUGAUGCCCACAGUGGCUCCACUCACAACAAUGCUCACAGCAGCGUCACUCACGACACCUACACGUCUGCAGCAGUGCUCACAGCAGCGUCACUCACGACACCUACACGUCUCCAGCAGGGCUUUUGUUGCCUUCUCCCUCUCCCUAGUGGCUCACAUUCUCUGAGCACCAACAGCUGAUGUCCCCAUGAGCAGAUACUGGUCUUAUCCCCAGGGGCUCCUCCUCCAAACACUGUUUGAUGUUUGCUGUCCUGACACAGUUUUGUAUAGAUUCCUUAUCCAAAAGAAAAUAGGCUGGACGCAGUGGCUCAUGCCUGUAAUCCCAGCACUUUGGGAGGCUGAGGUGGGUGGAUCACAAGGUCAGGAGUUCGAGACCAGCCUGGCCAACAUGGUGAAACCCCGUGUCUACUAAAAAUACAAAACUUAGCUGAGGGUGGUGGCAGGCACCUGUAAUCCCGGCUACUCAGGAGGCUGAGGCAGGAGAAUUGCUUGAACCUGGGAGGCAGAGGUUGCAAUGAGCCGAGAUUGCGCCACUGCACUCCGCCUGGCAGCAAAACUCCGUCUCAAGAAAAAAAAAAGAAAAAAAGAAAAUAAAGGCUGGCGUGGUGGCUCACACUGUAAUCCAGCACUUUGGGAGGCUAAGGCGGGAGGAUCACUUUAGUCCAGGCAUUCCAGACUAACCUGGGCAAUAUAGCAAGACUCUGUCUCCACAAAAAAUACCAAAACUAUCCAGGUGUGGUGGUGCACACCUGUAGUCCCAGC